Molecule: long non-coding RNA, 583 nt
Organism: Rhincodon typus (whale shark)
Lineage: Eukaryota; Metazoa; Chordata; Chondrichthyes; Orectolobiformes; Rhincodontidae
Exons: 3
Source: RefSeq, a predicted model, not a curated record
GCAGAAAGAAAAUGGCUGAACUGACCGACAUCUAGUCACAGGUACUGAAAGAAUUGCUGCGCAGUUUUGGUUUUUAUUUCAUAGCAAUAUAAAAGCUGGGAAAUGUUGGAUGAUGAUGGUAAACAAGAGUCGAAUACACACAUUAAAGUAAAGUCACCAUAGCCCAAAAAGACCACAAGCUGCUCCCUCAUUGGACAAUGAUGACUGGUGAUGAGUUUAGCCGGAGGUUCACCUCGACUCAGAUGAGAGGAGAGGUUGAGAAGAUGACAACACCUGGGAGACCUUUGCUCAGGAGAAACUGACUUAGAGGAACCUCCUGUAUGAAGGGACACAGUUCUUCAAGAACGUCCGUCAGCUAAAGGAGGUAUGGAAAAGGAACCAGAGAAAGGAAUGCCAGCAAUCUUGAGGUCAAGGACUAAUUCCACCUUCCAGAAACACUUGGCAAAUGUGUUGUCAGAAAUGUGCCUCUAGGAUUGGGCUCAUUCGUCUUGCAAAGACCUGUGGAAACCAUGACUAGUGACAUGGAAUUUCCUAGGUGGACAAUCAUACUCAUUAGUGGGUCAGUACUGACAACAACAACAAA